Molecule: ribosomal RNA, 497 nt
Filed under: uncultured bacterium
Lineage: Bacteria
Description: partial 16S ribosomal RNA
Rfam family: Bacterial small subunit ribosomal RNA
Source: RNAcentral
GAUGAACGCUGGCGGCGUGCCUAAUACAUGCAAGUCGAGCGAACAGACGAGGAGCUUGCUCCUCUGACGUUAGCGGCGGACGGGUGAGUAACACGUGGAUAACCUACCUAUAAGACUGGGAUAACUUCGGGAAACCGGAGCUAAUACCGGAUAACAUGUUGAACCGCAUGGUUCAACAGUGAAAGACGGUCUUGCUGUCACUUAUAGAUGGAUCCGCGCCGCAUUAGCUAGUUGGUAAGGUAACGGCUUACCAAGGCAACGAUGCGUAGCCGACCUGAGAGGGUGAUCGGCCACGCUGGAACUGAGACACGGUCCAGACUCCUACGGGAGGCAGCAGUAGGGAAUCUUCCGCAAAGGGCGAAAGCCUGACGGAGCAACGCCGCGUGAGUGAUGAAGGUCUUCGGAUCGUAAAACUCUGUUAUUAGGGAAGAACAAAUGUGUAAGUAACUAUGCACGUCUUGACGGUACCUAAUCAGAAAGCCACGGCUAACUACGUG